GAUGAACGCUGGCGGUAUGCCUAACACAUGCAAGUCGUACGAGAGUUUUUAACUCUAGUGGCGGACGGGUGAGUAACACGUGAGAAUUUGCCUUUAGGAGGGGGAUAACAAUUGGAAACGAAUGCUAAUACCCCAUAUGCUUUUGAGUGAAACGGAUUUAUCCGCCUAGAGAGAAGCUCGCGGCUGAUUAGCUUGUUGGUAAGGUAAGAGCUUACCAAGGCGACGAUCAGUAUCUGGUUUGAGAGGACGAUCAGACACACUGGAACUGAGACACGGUCCAGACUCCUACGGGAGGCAGCAGUGGGGAAUUUUCCGCAAUGGGCGAAAGCCUGACGGAGCAAUACCGCGUGAGGGAAGACUGCCUAUGGGUUGUAAACCUCUUUUUUCUAGGGAGGAAUAAAUGACGUGUACCUGAAGAAUAAGCAUCGGCUAACUCCGUG
RNAcentral lists this ribosomal RNA (440 nucleotides) under uncultured bacterium. Its description in RNAcentral is "bacterial SSU rRNA". It matches the Rfam family "Bacterial small subunit ribosomal RNA", at positions 28 to 507 of the family's 1533-position model. The record is from RNAcentral.